Long non-coding RNA from Acyrthosiphon pisum (pea aphid), 939 nucleotides. RefSeq lists it as uncharacterized. The transcript has 4 exons. NCBI's taxonomy places the organism in Eukaryota, Metazoa, Arthropoda, Insecta, Hemiptera, Aphididae. The record is from RefSeq and is a predicted model, not a curated record.
ACGACAUUCGUCGCGAUCUAAAGACUAUUAGACAAUAUUUUCAGGCAUGUAGACUACGCUGUCGUCUGUCGAUCACCGUCCGACCUUUGAGUGGUCCGACCUCCCACUCAAAGGCGAUCGCUAUGCGUUUUUAUCAUUGGCCGAUGAUUACCUAUCGUAUUAUUAUUUAUUAUUAUCGGUAAUCAGCGCAACCGCAGUGUACCGAUGAUACGUUUUGGUUCUAAACAAAUUAUUUAAUGUUUUACCCGUAAUAGAUAUGAUUUUUAGUUUUCGCAGUCGACGCAGUUGCCACGAGUGGUGUGAAUCAAGUGGUGCGAAUAAUAAUAGCAAACAAUGACGAUUAUUUAAGCGAUGGACGGUACUUAGUUAUUUUUAUCAGAAUCGAAUGACUAGAGUGUGAUAUCAGUGAACACUGAAUUGGCUUAUCCAAUCAACAGAUUUGGAGGAACAAUCAAACACACAAAUAAUACAUAGACGUGGUCCAAGGAAGUGGAUAUCAAAACUUCUGCUACUGAAAAUGAAUAUGUGAUGCAUGUGUGUCCGAGAAAAAAAACGUAAGAUAUGAGUUCAUAUCCAGAUGACAGCUAUAUUUAAGGUAUCCAGUUAUUUUGUCAAUAGAAGACAAUUCACUACAACAACAGCGAUAUAUGACAUCAACUAUGAUUAAAGUAUGGAACUGGAAUGAAAAUAAUAUGCCUUCCCCUGAACAACAUAAUAUGUAUAAGUUAUAUAAGUUCAUAGUAAGACUUGAAACAUUUCCUGAAAAAGUUAAUGGAGACCAAGCUAUCACAAUUAGACAUAACUAAAGAGCGGAUUUCUAGAUUCUUAAAAGCUUAAAAUAUGAUGCUAAUAUGCUCUAAAAAACCUUAAAGUAUUCUCUAAAUAUACAUUAAGCUUGUAAAUAUGCAGAUAAUAUGAUUUUUUUUUUUCUUAAAUAAU